AGAGUUUGAUCAUGGCUCAGGACGAACGCUGGCGGCGUGCUUAACACAUGCAAGUCGAACGGAAAGGCCCUGCUUUUGUGGGGUGCUCGAGUGGCGAACGGGUGAGUAACACGUGAGUAACCUGCCCUUGACUUUGGGAUAACUUCAGGAAACUGGGGCUAAUACCGGAUAGGAGCUCCUGCUGCAUGGUGGGGGUUGGAAAGUUUCGGCGGUUGGGGAUGGACUCGCGGCUUAUCAGCUUGUUGGUGGGGUAGUGGCUUACCAAGGCUUUGACGGGUAGCCGGCCUGAGAGGGUGACCGGCCACAUUGGGACUGAGAUACGGCCCAGACUCCUACGGGAGGCAGCAGUGGGGAAUAUUGCACAAUGGGCGGAAGCCUGAUGCAGCAACGCCGCGUGCGGGAUGACGGCCUUCGGGUUGUAAACCGCUUUCGCUUGUGACGAAGCGUGAGUGACGGUAAUGGGUAAAGAAGCACCGGCUAACUACGUGCCAGCAGCCGCGGUGAUACGUAGGGUGCGAGCGUUGUCCGGAUUUAUUGGGCGUAAAGGGCUCGUAGGUGGUUGAUCGCGUCGGAAGUGUAAUCUUGGGGCUUAACCCUGAGCGUGCUUUCGAUACGGGUUGACUUGAGGAAGGUAGGGGAGAAUGGAAUUCCUGGUGGAGCGGUGGAAUGCGCAGAUAUCAGGAGGAACACCAGUGGCGAAGGCGGUUCUCUGGGCCUUUCCUGACGCUGAGGAGCGAAAGCGUGGGGAGCGAACAGGCUUAGAUACCCUGGUAGUCCACGCUGUAAACGGUGGGUACUAGGUGUGGGGUCCAUUCCACGGGUUCCGUGCCGUAGCUAACGCUUUAAGUACCCCGCCUGGGGAGUACGGCCGCAAGGCUAAACUCAAAUGAAUUGACGGGG
RNAcentral lists this ribosomal RNA (900 nucleotides) under uncultured Actinomycetes bacterium. Its description in RNAcentral is "bacterial SSU rRNA". It matches the Rfam family "Bacterial small subunit ribosomal RNA", at positions 8 to 918 of the family's 1533-position model. The record is from RNAcentral. Lineage: Bacteria; Bacillati; Actinomycetota; Actinomycetes.